AUUGAGGGCGCCGCGGUGCAGCCUCCGCGGUUACGUCGCCGGCCACCAACUCGGGGGGCUUCCCCGGAGCCGAUAAAAACGGCUCUGCGGUCGCAUGGCUGGGUUAGUCCUCUCAGGAGUUACAAUUCUCCUUGUUUUUCCCGCCGGGGCCGGACCUGGGCGCUUCCCCCGCGUGCGCACCAGCUGAUGCGCCCUACCGGUGCGCUUUUACGCACAGCUGGGGCCAUCGGGCUCCAGGCCCCGGCGCUGUGAGCCGCGUCUCGCUCUUCGCCUCCCCGGCAGGAUGGACGCCCCGCCGCCGCUGCCCCUUCGCGACCGGCUGAGUUACUCGGUGGGCCAUUUCCUGAACGACUUGUGCGCCUCGAUGUGGUUCACCUAUUUGCUGGUUUACUUCCAUGCGGUGCUGGGCUAUAGCACCCAACAUGCGGGGGCGAUGCUGCUGGCGGGGCAGGUGGCUGAUGGCAUCUGCACGCCCCUGGUGGGCUACGAGGCGGACCAAGCCGGCGGGUGUGGUCGCUACGGGCGGAGGAAAUCUUGGCAUCUGGUUGGGACCAUCUGUGUUCUGCUCUCCUUCCCCUUCAUCUUCAGCCCAUGCAUCGGCUGCACGGAGAACACACCUGAGUGGGCUGCACUCAUCUACUACAUCCCAUUUAUUAUCAUCUUCCAGUUUGGCUGGGCAGCCACCCAAAUCUCUCACCUCUCACUCAUACCAGAGUUAGUCACUACUGACCAUGAGAAGGUGGAGCUCACGGCUUUCAGGUAUGCCUUCACUGUCAUGGCCAACAUCACGGUGUAUGGAGUUGCAUGGUUCCUGCUGCACUUCCAGAUCGACCCCACAAAGAAACUCACCGAGCACCUCGGGCGCGAUGACAUUCCUAUCUUUCGGAACCUAUCCCUGAUUGUGAUAGGAUGUGGUUCCAUUUUUUCACUUGUCUUCCAUCUUGGGACCAAAGAAAAUACACGGACUGUUUCCAGAUUGCCUGAUCCAGAUGAACAUAGUCUCCUAUUACCUCUAGAGCAAAAACAGCCCAUUCAACCCGUCCUGCUUUGGAAACACUGGUUUCUGGAACCUGCUUUCUACCAGGUGGCGAUGCUGUACAUGUCCACCCGUCUCAUUGUCAACCUAUCUCAGACAUACAUUGCAAUGUACCUCACCAAUUCACUAUUGCUUCCAAAGAAAUACAUUGCCACAAUCCCCCUGGUGAUGUAUAUUAGUGGCUUUCUCUCCUCCUUUUUGAUGAAACCUGUGAACAAACAGAUUGGCAGAAAUCUGACCUACUUCCUGGGACUGCUGAUUAUCUUGGCCUUUGCCUCCUGGUUGGCCAUAGCUGAGCGACUCAACGUAGAGGUAUAUGGAGCUGCUGUUCUGCUUGGGGCUGGGUCGGCCACCAUCCUGGUAACAUCCCUCUCCAUGACAGCUGAUCUCAUUGGGCCCCACACGCACAGUGGCGCAUUCGUCUAUGGAUCCAUGAGCUUCACUGAUAAAGUCGCCAACGGAUUGUCGGUGAUGAUUAUCCAGGACCUGCAUCCAUGCCCGACUCAGCUCUGUUGCAACGGCUGCGUGACCUUCUACCAUUGGGUAAUGGUCUCGGUUACUGGAGGCAUAGCAAUAGUGGCUGCCCUAUUCCUAGCCAGCAUCAUGAUCUGGCCAAUCAGCAUCCGUUUCCCUGGAAGGAAAUCCUGUAAACAUGGUUGAGACUUCGUUCAUCAAGCCGAUGAUGACUCCCUCAAUCGUGACCAGAAUAAGAUCAAAUUCGGCAUGGGGAGAGAAGUUAGCAAAAGGAAAUGGGCCAAGUCCAUGGAGAAGAAAAGACAUACCUCCCAGUUCCCUCAGGGCAUGCCUGGAGAUGCUGUUGGGCAGUGGCUCAUAAUAGCAAUAGCACUUAGAGUUAUAUACCGCAUCACGGUGCUUUUACAGCCCUCUCUAAGUGGUUUACAGAGUCAGCCUCUUGCCCCCAACAAUCUGGGUCCUCAUUUUACCGUCCUCGGAAAGAUGGAAGGCUGAGUCAACCUUGAGCCAGACAAUGUUUCGAUUUCAGGGGUGAAACCAAGAGACCCCCAGUAUCUUGAGGAAGGAGAAUCAGUGGCUGUGGUGAACUGAGACAUCUGAAGGAGCAAAGCUAGGACAGGAUGGAGUUGCAGCAGCAUGGAAAUCGAAAGAACGGUUUCAUCUAGCUUGAAUUUGCCCUUAUUUGCUCUCCGGACCCAACAUGGACAAUCCCAGCAUAUUUUGCACAAAUCUUCCUUGACCCUUUAUGGGAAGAUCCUUUCCUCUGACCACUUCCUCCCCCCAGUUGGUCCCUUGCGCAGCUAGUAAAGAACUGGCAAUGAAGCAAUGUCUUCCACCACCUAAUGCACCCUGCCCUUCCCUUUUUCUACGUAUUUGUAUAUAAAAAGUAUAAAUAAAUAAAUGUGAGGGUUUUUUAUUUAAGAAAUAAUUAAACUAUCUUAAGAUUAAAAAAAGAGAGACUUCUAAUAAA
Molecule: RNA transcript, 2480 nt
Organism: Ahaetulla prasina
Lineage: Eukaryota; Metazoa; Chordata; Lepidosauria; Squamata; Colubridae
Gene: MFSD12
Gene name: major facilitator superfamily domain containing 12
Exons: 11
Source: RefSeq, a predicted model, not a curated record